This 253-nucleotide ribosomal RNA is filed under the name uncultured bacterium. Its description in RNAcentral is "partial 16S ribosomal RNA". It matches the Rfam family "Bacterial small subunit ribosomal RNA", at positions 524 to 776 of the family's 1533-position model. The record is from RNAcentral.
UACGUAGGGUGCGAGCGUUGUCCGGAAUCAUUGGGCGUAAAGGGCUCGUAGGCGGUCCAUCGCGUCGGGAGUGAAAGACCGGGGCUUAACCCCGGUUCUGCUUCCGGUACGGGCAUGCUGGAGUGUGGCAGGGGAGACUGGAAUUCCUGGUGUAGCGGUGGAAUGCGCAGAUAUCAGGAGGAACACCGGUGGCGAAGGCGGGUCUCUGGGCCAUUACUGACGCUGAGGAGCGAAAGCGUGGGGAGCGAACAGG